ACGGCUCAGUAACACGUGGAUAACCUACCCUUGAGACGGGGAUAAACCCGGGAAACUGGGUAUAAUACCCGAUAGAUCUCGACUGCUGGAAUGCAUCGAGCUUUAAAGCUCCGGCGCUCAAGGAUGGAUCUGCGGCCUAUCAGGUAGUAGUGGGUGUAGCGUACCUACUAGCCUACGACGGGUACGGGUUGUGAGAGCAAGAGCCCGGAGAUGGAUUCUGAGACACGAAUCCAGGCCCUACGGGGUGCAGCAGGCGCGAAAACUUUACAAUGCUGGAAACAGCGAUAAGGGGACCUCGAGUGCCAGGUUACAAAUCUGGCUGUCGUGAUGCCUAAAAAGCAUUGCAUAGCAAGGGCCGGGCAAGACCGGUGCCAGCCGCCGCGGUAACACCGGCGGCUCGAGUGGUAACCGUUAUUAUUGGGUCUAAAGGGUCUGUAGCCGGCCGGAUAAGUCUCUUGGGAAAUCUGGCAGCUUAACUGUCAGGCUUUCAGGAGAUACUGUCUGGCUCGAGGCCGGGAGAGGUGAGAGGUACUUCAGGGGUAGGGGUGAAAUCUUGUAAUCCUUGAAGGACCACCAGUGGCGAAGGCGUCUCACCAGAACGGACCUGACGGCAAGGGACGAAAGCUAGGGGCACGAACCGGAUUAGAUACCCGGGUAGUCCUAGCCGUAAACGAUACUCGCUAGGUGUCGGCCACGGUGCGACCGUUGUCGGUGCCGUAGGGAAGCCGUGAAGCGAGCCACCUGGGAAGUACGGCCGCAAGGCUGAAACUUAAAGGAAUUGGCGGGGGAGCAC
RNAcentral lists this ribosomal RNA (793 nucleotides) under uncultured archaeon. Its description in RNAcentral is "bacterial SSU rRNA". It matches the Rfam family "Archaeal small subunit ribosomal RNA", at positions 85 to 879 of the family's 1478-position model. The record is from RNAcentral.